This 216-nucleotide long non-coding RNA is filed under the name Elaeis guineensis (African oil palm). Its description in RNAcentral is "long non-coding RNA (EGUI_LNC029926)". Lineage: Eukaryota; Viridiplantae; Streptophyta; Magnoliopsida; Arecales; Arecaceae. The record is from RNAcentral.
ACCAUGGUGACUUAUAAACAACUCACUGUGCUUUGGUGUUGGACAAUCUAAAAUUUUAAUUCAAGAUCGAAAGAUUUUUGGACAUAGUCAUGUACUUAUGAAAUCGAUGCGUGAGUCAAGGUGGAAUUGAUCCCUCCAAGAGAUUGGAGAGAAUACUUUAUGUUUCAAUUUAGUAAGACCUUGGCCAGGACAAUCUUUGUAAGGAGUUAUAGGAUU